RNAcentral lists this ribosomal RNA (507 nucleotides) under Oodescelis affinis. Its description in RNAcentral is "partial 16S ribosomal RNA". It matches the Rfam family "Bacterial large subunit ribosomal RNA", at positions 1809 to 2591 of the family's 2925-position model. Lineage: Eukaryota; Metazoa; Arthropoda; Insecta; Coleoptera; Tenebrionidae. The record is from RNAcentral.
AAAAACAUGUCUUUUUGAUUAUAAUUUAAAGUCAGGCCUGCCCAAUGAUUAUUUUAAAUGGCUGCAGUAUUUUGACUGUACAAAGGUAGCAUAAUCAUUAGUUUCUUAAUUAGAAGCUGGAAUGAAUGGUUCGAUGAAAAAUUAACUGUCUCGAUUUAAUUUUAUUAGAAUUUUAUUUUUAAGUGAAAAAGCUUAAAUUUUAUAUAAAGACGAGAAGACCCUAUAGAGUUUUAUAUUUUUAUAAUUUUUAAUUUUAUGUUUUUAUAUUUAAUUAUUAAUAAAAGUAUUUUGUUGGGGUGACAGAAAAACUUGAAUAACUUUUUUUUAUUUUUACACUGAUUGGUGAAUUUAUGAUCCUUUAUUAGAUUAAAAGAUUAAAUUACCUUAGGGAUAACAGCGUAAUUUUUUUUGAAAGUUCUUAUUGAUAAAAAAGUUUGCGACCUCGAUGUUGGAUUAAAAUUUAUUUUUGGUGCAGAAGCUAAAAAAUUAGGUCUGUUCGACCUUUAA